This is a long non-coding RNA of Bactrocera dorsalis (oriental fruit fly), 2557 nucleotides long. RefSeq lists it as uncharacterized. The record is from RefSeq and is a predicted model, not a curated record. Lineage: Eukaryota; Metazoa; Arthropoda; Insecta; Diptera; Tephritidae. The transcript has 3 exons.
AUCGGGAAUUGAAAUGAAGUUCAAAUAAGCAAAGAAAUUUCCCAACGUUCGCUUUCACGCAGAACAAGCAAAGACAUGACAGACAAAUGUACAUACUAUAUGUACAUAGUAUGUACUUGGACAUGUAGUUCAUCUAUAUAUGGUACAUGAGCAAUGUGUAUAUGUAUGUAUUGAUCGGUGUGAUAAGAUAAACAGCAAGAUAAUAAGUUUUACGCAUGGCGGAAAUUGAAAAUGCGAACUUUUCCUGCGGACCGAUAAGGUAAAGCGAAUGACUUCUACCUUCAAAGUUACUUGCGUCGAUGACUUACAUAAAUGAGAUAAGAAGACAAACCCUUACUAGACUACUUCACUUAGGAGAACACGGAUCUUGAUCGGACACCUUUAAGCAUCAAUUCCUACAGGGGCGUCUUUUCGUUCAGUAUUACGUACAUAUAUUUGGAAAUCGUACAUAGAUAUAGUGAACAUAUCCCGAAAUUGCAAAUGAAAAGCUUGCUCGGCAUUGUCAAGCAUAAGUUUAGAAAGGUUGUUUUCUCUUGCUAUUUGACGGUAGCCAUACUGAAUCUGAGGGACAAUUAAGUCUACAGUCCAUACCACGCAGUGUCGAUUCGGAGCCGUUAGCAACAACUCGAGCUGAAAGCUUGUGCAAGAACUGAAGCCGCUCGACCUACCCAAGCGACAUCACUUCGCUCUAUGGCCUUUAGAGAAGUUCCAAGAAGAUCCGACGUUUUCGAGCCAAAUUUUUUAUGGCGAUGAGGCCCAUUUCUGACUCUCUCGGCGACAUUUGGUUUCAACAAGACGGCGCCACUGCCCACAAAUCGCAUCAAGCAAUGGAUUUAUUGAGAGAAUUUACAACGAUCAAUGAAUUUAUUGAGAGAACACUUCGGUGAGCAGUUAAUUUCAUGUUUUCGAAAAAUGUAAGGGCUAAAGACUAUGCGGACAAUCCCGCUUCGUUAGAGGCCUUAAAGCAAAACAUUACGAGUGUCAUUCGCCAGUUACCUGUUGAAACGCUCGACUGAAUCAUCGAAAAUUGGACUCAAGGGAUGGACCAUCUGAGGCUGUAGCUGCGGCUAACAUUUGCAAGAGAUAAUCUUCAAAGAAUAAAUGCUAAAUAAUAUUAUUAUUUCGAAUAAUAAUUAACAUUCCCCAUUAAAUUUGAAGUUUCUGUACUUUUUCUUAAAAAAAAAAAUAGUUAACCUCGAAGUGGAUGACCCUUUAUAAGAGAUCGAUGAUCCAAUAAGUCAAAGUCGUCUUCUGAGCUGUCUGGGAUCUAACCUGUUUUGUAGUGAUUAAUUCGAACUCUGAGCGGCCGGUACAUUGGAAAUGAAGACGCUCAUCUGCUUUUGAAAGUCGUAGUGAACGUGGCGAGUUAUAUUGGACCCAACCAAUGAUGUGGUUUUAGUUGCAGCGGCAGAAGGAAGUUAAUAAAAGUCUCCAUAGCUUCGGCGGUUUGUAUGCUCAACGAGGGAGAAUUUAAUUGACGAACCAAUAGUCUAGUACGGAAACAAUGCCAGCACAAACUUAAUAUCAAGCUACGUGAGACGUUCGACUACACUGAUCUCUCAAAUAAUAUUUACUUAACUUCUUAUUUAUUUCCUACAUGUUUAUGACUGCAAAACUGUAGUCUUUCAUUGUUAGCAAAUUUUAUAGUUUUCCCUCUUAUUUGAUUAAAAAUAUAGCAAGACGUUCGUUUUUUUUUUGUUUAACUUUCUGCUCACGUUUUAUAUUUGAAUGUCUGCCACGUGAGUCUACAGUAUUCUAUUUUUAUUGUUUCAUUGUUUAUUUGAUACAACCCAGAAAACAGUUACAAAUAUUUAUUCGUUUUUCUAUUGACAAUGUUUUGUUGAUAGUUUGGACGAGCUUUUAUUUCUCUCGGAAGGUUUGGUUUUUUUUGCAUCUUUUUAUUGUCAGCUUUCGCAAAGUCUCGUAGUUAAUAAGCUUUGGGAAAAAUCUGCCAAGAUCGCUGCCUCCGAAGCUUUGAUUUAUCAGCAGAGGCUAGAGUAAGGGUUGAUUUUCUGAACUUAAGAGACUACUACCUCAAUACUUUCAAGUAGAACAGCAUCGUAAGCAUAGCAAGGGCUCGCAACGGGUUUUUUCUAGUCACUCUCUGAGCAACUGGACUUUGCUUAUAGUGUUUACUGGGCGUUGAGAGGCUUGUUAACAAUGACAAUCGAAAUAACUGUGACUGCUAUCACUUUGAACGAUCAGCCGGCGGCAGCACAUGCUAGGUUAUCAACACUUGGAACUAGAACGAAAUGAUUGUUUGUUGUUUCCACAUUUUAUAUGGUACAUAUCGUCACCUAAAAUGCAAAACAACGUAUAAUUAAAAAAAAUUAAAUUGAGUUUUUUAUUGCUAACAAUUCACUACAUCAUAUUACAUACAUAUAUGUAACAUAUGUAAUAUUUUCAGCUUCAGCUGUCAAUAUAUAAUCAAUAUAUAACCAAUAUGUAACCAAUAUAUAACCAAUAUGUAACUAAUAUGUAAUCAAUAUAUAACCAAUAUAUAAUCAAUAUGUAACCAAUAUGUAAUCAAUAUGUAACCAAUAUAUAACCACUUUAU